CCAGAACUGCGCAGAAGAUAUGGAAAACAAAGAAAGUUGUGCUCCCAACGCAGCCUUCCCAGCGCAGGACACGGAGAGAGGAGCUGCUCUGCUCCCGCGCUGCCCCGCGACACGUGGGGAGACCAGCCUUCCCGGUGCCCCCGCUUGCCUGUGCCCCGAAGGACCGCUUCGAACCAUCCCGUGGGAAACAGGCUGUUGUGCCGUGUCCGCAGUGGAUUUUCCAGUGCAAAGCACAUCAUGUGAAAACUCAUCCUGAACAAAAAGGAAGUUUCGCUUUUAUUUUACCAAUUGAUGGCACUUCAGAAGCAGAAAUGCAGUCUUCCUGGAGUAUCAGGGGAAAAUCAGUCACCAUUUGCACUCAAUAAACUCGGAGAUGAUACUACAGGAAUCGAUGUAACCCAUGUAUAUAUGUAUGCACAUAUUGGAAAAAGCAGCAAGUAAAACUAAGGCCUCACUGGAAUUUAAUUUAAGCAUCCAACGGCUCCAGCAUUUCUUGUGCGUACAAAGCUCCAUUGCUCAGAAGGGAAAGUUGGUGUUUCCAGAGGUGGCAGAGAGUGCCAUCGGCACUGUGAGUAUGCAGAAAACAUUAGCAAUACUAUUGUGCCAAUACUGAGAUCAUGCUACUAAUGGCAGCAUUUUUAAAAACUUCAUGGACAACUCACAAUUACCAUUUCUUCAGGCUUCUUAAAUUAUCAAGCAUUAUCAAAAUAGACAAGGUCAUUGUUUUAUCUGCAAUAAAGUCAAAGGAAUUGCCAGAGAUAUAGCAAUAGUAUUACACAUAUAAUUACUACCAUGGUAAUUUAUUCAAUAAAGCUCUCAUUUAAUUACAGGAACCUAUUACACUGAAUGAUGUGUUGGGCAUGAUUUAUAUCUCAGAUGUAAAUAUUCAGAAAUAAGCCUCCUAUAAUGAAAGCAACUCCUAGCUGUUCUCCAUUUGCAUUAGACUUCAGAGUGCUGAUACAACAGAAAGGAACCACCAGUGGGUCACAUAACUACUGAAUAUUCGAUGCAGCAGGUGAUUUAUAGACAUAAAAGAAGAUGGCUCAAACAGUGCAGUCUAAAAUAGCACUACCUACCUCUAUUAAUUGUCCUGGGUUCACAACUGGCAUAAGUAUUUCAUAUCAGCACAGGAAAAGUUAACACUUGGGGCUGUAAUCAUUUUGGAAAUGCUUACUCUAGCCUGUCAAAAAUAUGAUUAAUAAGAGGCAGUACCAAAUACCCGAUACCUGGCAUGGACAUAUAGAAGGUCCUCGAACCCUCAAGGAAAUUCUAGCUUCAGCCAGGAGAUAGGACGGAGCUGACAGGCAUUUUGCUGGUGAAACUUCAGAAAGACCAAAGGCUCAAAGGACCUGUUGAAUAUUCUGGCCAAACUUCUCUUUUUGUCACCCAGCCAAAGCUAGGGGUCAGCUCUUUGCUCCAGCUAGCAUUUAAUUAGAGAAAUAGCCAUUUUAUGUUGUUGAAGCUUCUUUACCCUUCAGGACCGUGGCCUUAAGCCACCAGUUCCUGACAGAAGCCAGUGGUGAAUUUGGCUGAUUGCAUAUCACCUGUGUCGUGCUCUUUUUGUUUGUUGUUUGCCAAUGCACACUCAUAAAUUUGAAAUGGUGGAGAUCUGUCUGUAAAUUAGUAAGUCUGCCCUCUUUUUUUCCAUGCAUUGAGAAACUGUGCGUCUGAAAUAAUAAAAUUUGAAUCUAUACUGAUUUACAGUAACUUGGAUGAAAAUAUACUGAGCCCUUGUUCAUAACGUGGAAAAAUA
Long non-coding RNA from Dromaius novaehollandiae (emu), 1753 nucleotides. RefSeq lists it as uncharacterized. The record is from RefSeq and is a predicted model, not a curated record. NCBI's taxonomy places the organism in Eukaryota, Metazoa, Chordata, Aves, Casuariiformes, Dromaiidae. The transcript has 4 exons.